RNAcentral lists this RNase P RNA (333 nucleotides) under Clostridiales bacterium. RNAcentral describes it as "RNase P RNA component class A". It matches the Rfam family "Bacterial RNase P class A". Rfam says of the family: Ribonuclease P (RNase P) is a ubiquitous endoribonuclease, found in archaea, bacteria and eukarya as well as chloroplasts and mitochondria. Its best characterised activity is the generation of mature 5'-ends of tRNAs by cleaving the 5'-leader elements of precursor-tRNAs. Cellular RNase Ps are ribonucleoproteins. Lineage: Bacteria; Bacillati; Bacillota; Clostridia; Eubacteriales. The record is from RNAcentral.
CGAGAUGAACAGACGGUUGCGUCGGGAAACCGACGAGGAAAGUCCGAACACCGCAGGACGGGAUGCCGGCUAACUACCGGUGAAGGCGACUUUAAGGAAAGUGCAACAGAAACAAACUACCCUCCGCGCAAGCGGAGGGAAAAGGUGAAAGGGCGGGGUAAAAGCCCACCGGCGACGCGGCGACGCGACGCGCUCUGUAAACCCCAUCCGGUGCAAGAUCGAGGAGAAUCGGUUGUCCGCCGCUCCUUCACAUCGCUCGACCCCUUCGGCAACGACGGGGCUAGACAGAUAACCGUCAAAUACAGAAUUCGGCUUACGGUUCAUACUCAAAAG